AUUGAACGCUGGCGGCAUGCUUUACACAUGCAAGUCGAACGGUAACAGGGAGCUUGCUCCGCUGACGAGUGGCGAACGGGUGAGUAAUGCAUCGGAACGUACCCAGUCGUGGGGGAUAACGUAGCGAAAGUUACGCUAAUACCGCAUACGUCCUGAGGGAGAAAGCGGGGGGACCGUAAGGCCUCGCGCGAUUGGAGCGGCCGAUGUCGGAUUAGCUAGUUGGUAGGGUAAAGGCCUACCAAGGCGACGAUCCGUAGCGGGUCUGAGAGGAUGAUCCGCCACACUGGGACUGAGACACGGCCCAGACUCCUACGGGAGGCAGCAGUGGGGAAUUUUGGACAAUGGGCGAAAGCCUGAUCCAGCCAUGCCGCGUGAGUGAAGAAGG
RNAcentral lists this ribosomal RNA (385 nucleotides) under uncultured bacterium. RNAcentral's name for it is "bacterial SSU rRNA". It matches the Rfam family "Bacterial small subunit ribosomal RNA", at positions 29 to 414 of the family's 1533-position model. The record is from RNAcentral.